UAUAGAUGGACCCGCGCCGUAUUAGCUAGUUGGUAAGGUAACGGCUUACCAAGGCAACGAUACGUAGCCGACCUGAGAGGGUGAUCGGCCACACUGGAACUGAGACACGGUCCAGACUCCUACGGGAGGCAGCAGUAGGGAAUCUUCCGCAAUGGGCGAAAGCCUGACGGAGCAACGCCGCGUGAGUGAUGAAGGUCUUAGGAUCGUAAAACUCUGUUGUUAGGGAAGAACAAAUUUGUUAGUAACUGAACAAGUCUUGACGGUACCUAACCAGAAAGCCACGGCUAACUACGUGCCAGCAGCCGCGGUAAUACGUAGGUGGCAAGCGUUAUCCGGAAUUAUUGGGCGUAAAGCGCGCGUAGGCGGUUUCUUAAGUCUGAUGUGAAAGCCCACGGCUCAACCGUGGAGGGUCAUUGGAAACUGGGGAACUUGAGUGCAGAAGAGGAGAGUGGAAUUCCAUGUGUAGCGGUGAAAUGCGCAGAGAUAUGGAGGAACACCAGUGGCGAAGGCGGCUCUCUGGUCUGUAACUGACGCUGAUGUGCGAAAGCGUGGGGAUCAAACAGGAUUAGAUACCCUGGUAGUCCACGCCGUAAACGAUGAGUGCUAAGUGUUAGGGGGUUUCCGCCCCUUAGUGCUGCAGCUAACGC
Molecule: ribosomal RNA, 647 nt
Filed under: uncultured bacterium
Lineage: Bacteria
Description: bacterial SSU rRNA
Rfam family: Bacterial small subunit ribosomal RNA
Source: RNAcentral